CUGGAAUUGAAAUUGAGUUGACCACAACCCUGUUCCACAUAGACUAAAGCAUUUUACUUUACAGGUCAGAAGUAAGGCAGACGAAGGAUUGCUUUUACAUGUUAUAUUCUAUAGCAGCCAUUAGGAAAUACAGCACCUUCAUAUAUAAAGUAACUCAGACCAAAAGCAAAUUUGUCCCAUCCGGCGCAGAACUCGGACUCUUUUUGCUUUCAUGUGGAUUGGUUGUCAUUGGUUGUCCAGUGAGCAGAAUGCCUGAGGGCAGGUGAAACAGACUUUGUAGUCCUGACAGAGUCUACCAUCUUGCUCUGCAUUCACACAGGCAAAUCCAUGAGUGGCAUCAUACUUGGAAAACACACACAGGCAAAUCAUCUAGUAGCUAUGGGCAUUUGUUAACUCCUGAUGUUCUAUACAUACAGCUUUGGAAAUGUGAAUGUAAGCUAAUUUAAUAUGUAAAAUGUAGGUUGGAAUUGUGAAGGAUAUUGACCCUUUAAUAUCGUCAAUACCUAGUUUGUUAUUGUUUGUUAUUGGAUAUCAUUGGAUGUCAGUGACACAUCAUAGAAAUCACUAAGUCAUCGGUGAGCAGGUACAGUAUGAACAGCUUGGAGGGUUAGGGUUUAACCAGAAUGUGGACAUGAAGCUAGGGUUAGGGUUUAACCAGAAUGUGGACAUGAAGCUAGGGUUAGGGUUUAACCAGAAUGUGGACAUGAAGCUAGGGUUAGGGUUUAACCAGAAUGUGGACAUGAAGCUAGGGUUAGGGUUGAGGCUAGGGUUAGGGUUAGGGUUUAACCAGAAUGUGGACAGGAAGCUAGGGUUAGGGUUGAGCCAGGAUGUGGACAUGAAGCUAGGGUUAGGGUUGAGCCAGGAUGUGGACAUGAAGCUAGGGUUUAACCAGGAUGUGGACAUGAAGCUAGGGUUAGGCCAGGAUGUGGACAUGAAGCUAGGGUUAGGGUUGAGCCAGGAUGUGGACAUGAAGCUAGGGUUAGGGUUGAGCCAGGAUGUGGACAUGAAGCUAGGGUUAGGGUUGAGCCAGGAUGUGGACAUGAAGCUAGGGUUUAACCAGGAUGUGGACAUGAAGCUUGUGUUUAACCAGGAUGUGGACAUGAAGCUAGGGUUAGGGUUGAGGUUAGAGGAGCUGCUCAUGAGAGGAAGGUGUCUCUGAGCAGAUAUCCCAUAGUUGGUCUGGGCCUCGAUGCUGAUGGGGCUUCUACACACUUGACCAGGAAACAUCUGCAGCAGCUGGGGUAUGGACUCCAGGUCGUCCUCAUCUGAUGGGUUAUCACUGCUCAGCCACCGUGUCCCACACCCCUAAAAG
Molecule: long non-coding RNA, 1312 nt
Organism: Oncorhynchus tshawytscha (Chinook salmon)
Lineage: Eukaryota; Metazoa; Chordata; Actinopteri; Salmoniformes; Salmonidae
Source: Ensembl